UACGUGGACAUUUGGGAAAUACUGUCUUUGUAGAUGAAGAGCAGUGCUGUCACAAGAUGAGAUGGGCUUCAGUGAGAAGGAGUACAUUAACUAUUGAAGCACCAUGAUUCUAAGCAGCAAAACUGCUUCCUGAGUAAUUUUAAGAAUGCAAAAAUAUAGAUUCAGUGCAGAAGGAGAGGGCACGAUAUGGCUGAGGAAACCAAGUUGACAUAAGGUGGAGACAGUGUCAACAAAUGCCAGAAACUGUGAUGGUGCUGGAAAACAAGACUGAGCAGCUUAUAAACCAAAGUGAACUUUGUACCUUGAAAGAAUGUGUCUGAAAGAUGGCAAUGAGCUAUUAGAUGAUUGCUCCUGUUGCAGGAAUAACAUGAUUGUGGUAUAUCAGAGAGUCUGUGACUAUAUAGAAAUUAUUUUGAAACCUUUUGCAACAACUUUUCCAUUUUGAUUAACCACAGCCCACUGAGUAUGUGUUCUUCACACAUGACAUAAUUCAGAUGACAGAGGCCAAGCGAAGAAUGAAAAUGCUGUUGAUGACAUUUUCCUCAUUCAAGAAUCCUGUCAUUGAAAAACAGCCUCCUUUGAGAAAAAGAAAUAUCUCAUAAAAGUGUUGAAAUUAGUGUGGAGUUUCUCAAAUUAGUCUUAAUAUUAUUUAGUCAUUAUGGAAAUAUUAAUAUUAUUUUAAGUUUUGAAUUAAAGGCAAAAAUUUUGAGAAUAAUUUUGAUCUUUCAUAAACAUCGAUUAGAACAUUAUAAAAAACUAAUUUUUACUGAAAAAAAUGGAAACAUUUUUCACCUUUCAACACAAGCAGCUUUCUAUUUUCUGAUGCAUUGUACAUAAAAAUUAAUUGUAAUAAAAUUGUCAUUGAACUGCUAGAUAAUAUAUUCUUUUUUUAAUGUGAUCUUAGGCAGGACUGAAGAUGAAGACACUCAGAGUAGGUGAGAUGAGUUGCUCUCAGACUCCUUUUACUUUUUUUAACUUGUGACCCCUUCUCAUGUAGCGGGAACUUAUUCAUUGCACCUCUGCACACCUACAUGCAGGCAUCUGCUCUGAGAUAUCUUAAGCUACAGCCAGGUCUUUUGCCUAAAGGCUUGUUAUUCUACCCAAAAACUUUAUUGGAAUUAAAAUAUGUGUUGAGAAAAUAUUAGACUUGGAAGGAAGCUGCUGUUUUAGUGAGUGAAAAUCGACAUGGCGUAUUUUGAAAUGUGGUGCGCCAGGGUGCAACCAGCUGAUGGAUCCAGAAGUACUGUAACUACUUGUCUGUCUUUAACUUCUUCUCAGCUUUGCUGAGAGGUGCUAGCCUGUUCUCAGACUCACACUGGCCUCAUGUUCAGUUCAAUGCACUGUUUUGUGCCAAAGUACCAGCCUGUGUAAAGCUAAUGUGGGGUUAUUUCUUGUUUUACUGCAGGAGGAAGUUGUGCCCACAGCAGCCUUAUCACUUAUAGAUGUGGUUUCAGCUUCUAGAACCCUACUGCUAGCAGUGCUAGAAACCUGCACACCUUCUGUGCACGACAACUUCUGGCUUUCACUUCAGGGAUGUGCUUCUAGAGGCAGAUCACUAAGUCAGUCUCUUCUGACCUGGUUUUCCAAACAUGUAAGGCUUUAUGUCCAAUAAGUUGGUAUAUCCAGAGGGAGUUUGUAUUUGAAAGGGAGGAUGAAAUGGAUCAUUUGAGGAAAAAAAAAGUUCUGUUUUAAAGGCAGAAGGUUGUAUUAGCUGUCCUAGUCUGACUUUUCGAUAUGGCUUUUGAGUGUAAGAAGAGGAAAUGAGAAGGAGUGAAUAAUGAAUUGUGACAGGGAUUUCUUUCUCGUGUACUAUUAAAAAAAAUAAUUUGCCUCUGCAUUUUUCAUGGGUAAAUUGAAGAUAAUGAUAAUUCUGGUUUGAGCAAAUGACAUAAAGAAACUUUUAAAGAAUGUAUCCAAGUUAGCGAAGCUUUAACUCAGGUGGAAAGCAAAUUACCCACCUAAUGGGAGGGAGAAGGAUUUUUGAACACCCUAACCCAUUCUACAAGUUGCACUGUAGCCAAAAAUAAUAUUCUGCCUUGCUUUUGUUACCACUGGGACCAAAUGCUCUGUUCUACUGGGAAUGCUGCAUUAGUUAGUACAUUUAUUUCACUGGCAGAUAUUUCAAUUUUAUUUAUUUUUUUGCAUACAUACUUGGAAAUAAAACUGACACCACUGUGUUAACCACUUGCUGUUGUAGACAUACAGUUAAGCUCUGUGAAUGUAGGUUACUUGUACAGUAAUGCAAUGAAAUAUGAACAUGUAAAUUACUUCUCCAUUGAUCAUCCUCUGAGAAAUUUUAAAGAUCAUUUGUUUUGUAGGAUUACAUAGACCUAA
Molecule: long non-coding RNA, 2334 nt
Organism: Cygnus olor (mute swan)
Lineage: Eukaryota; Metazoa; Chordata; Aves; Anseriformes; Anatidae
Exons: 3
Source: RefSeq, a predicted model, not a curated record